This 1143-nucleotide ribosomal RNA is filed under the name Bacillus subtilis. Its description in RNAcentral is "bacterial SSU rRNA". It matches the Rfam family "Bacterial small subunit ribosomal RNA", at positions 36 to 1205 of the family's 1533-position model. Lineage: Bacteria; Bacillati; Bacillota; Bacilli; Caryophanales; Bacillaceae. The record is from RNAcentral.
CAGGCCGGCAGCUAUACAUGCAGUCGAGCGGACAGAUGGGAGCUUGCUCCCUGAUGUUAGCGGCGGACGGGUGAGUAACACGUGGGUAACCUGCCUGUAAGACUGGGAUAACUCCGGGAAACCGGGGCUAAUACCGGAUGGUUGUUUGAACCGCAUGGUUCAAACAUAAAAGGUGGCUUCGGCUACCACUUACAGAUGGACCCGCGGCGCAUUAGCUAGUUGGUGAGGUAACGGCUCACCAAGGCAACGAUGCGUAGCCGACCUGAGAGGGUGAUCGGCCACACUGGGACUGAGACACGGCCCAGACUCCUACGGGAGGCAGCAGUAGGGAAUCUUCCGCAAUGGACGAAAGUCUGACGGAGCAACGCCGCGUGAGUGAUGAAGGUUUUCGGAUCGUAAAGCUCUGUUGUUAGGGAAGAACAAGUACCGUUCGAAUAGUUGUGGUACCUUGACGGUACCUAACCAGAAAGCCACGGCUAACUACGUGCCAGCAGCCGCGGUAAUACGUAGGUGGCAAGCGUUGUCCGGAAUUAUUGGGCGUAAAGGGCUCGCAGGCGGUUUCUUAAGUCUGAUGUGAAAGCCCCCGGCUCAACCGGGGAGGGUCAUUGGAAACUGGGGAACUUGAGUGCAGAAGAGGAGAGUGGAAUUCCACGUGUAGCGGUGAAAUGCGUAGAGAUGUGGAGGAACACCAGUGGCGAAGGCGACUCUCUGGUCUGUAACUGACGCUGAGGAGCGAAAGCGUGGGGAGCGAACAGGAUUAGAUACCCUGGUAGUCCACGCCGUAAACGAUGAGUGCUAAGUGUUAGGGGGUUUCCGCCCCUUAGUGCUGCAGCUAACGCAUUAAAGCACUCCGCCUGGGGGAGUACGGUCGCAAGACUGAAACUCAAGGGAAUUGACGGGGGCCCGCACAAGCGGGUCGAAGCAUGGUGGUAUAAAUUCGAAGCAACGCGAAGAACCUUUACCCAGGUCUUGACAUCCUCUGACAAUCCCUAGAAGAUAGGGACGUUCCCCUUCGGGGGCCAGCAGUGAACAGGAUGGGUGCCAUGGAUUGUCCGCUCAAGCAUCUAUGUCGUGGAGACUGCUAGGGAUAACGUUCGGCAACCGAAGCGCAGCCGUGGAUCUGAUGACCAGCAGUUCCAGUAA